Molecule: ribosomal RNA, 497 nt
Filed under: uncultured bacterium
Lineage: Bacteria
Description: partial 16S ribosomal RNA
Rfam family: Bacterial small subunit ribosomal RNA
Source: RNAcentral
GAUGAACGCUGGCGGCGUGCCUAAUACAUGCAAGUCGAGCGAACGGACGAGAAGCUUGCUUUUCUGAUGUUAGCGGCGGACGGGUGAGUAACACGUGGAUAACCUACCUAUAAGACUGGGAUAACUUCGGGAAACCGGAGCUAAUACCGGAUAAUAUUUUGAACCGCAUGGCUCAAAAGUGAAAGACGGUCUUGCUGUCACUUAUAGAUGGAUCCGCGCUGCAUUAGCUAGUUGGUAAGGUAACGGCUUACCAAGGCAACGAUGCAUAUCCGACCUGAGAGGGUGAUCGGCCACACUGGAACUGAGACACGGUCCAGACUCCUACGGGAGGCAGCAGUAGGGAAUCUUCCGCAAUGGGCGAAAGCCUGACGGAGCAACGCCGCGUGAGUGAUGAAGGUCUUCGGAUCGUAAAACUCUGUUAUUAGGGAAGAACAUAUGUGUAAGUAACAGUGCACAUCUUGACGGUACCUAAUCAGAAAGCCACGGCUAACUACGUG